Rana temporaria (common frog) is the source of this 4073-nucleotide RNA transcript. RefSeq lists it as uncharacterized. NCBI's taxonomy places the organism in Eukaryota, Metazoa, Chordata, Amphibia, Anura, Ranidae. The record is from RefSeq and is a predicted model, not a curated record. The transcript has 8 exons.
UUCAUUUCUGCAAUUGAGUUUCUUCUUCCUGGUACGUGAAUUGAACACCGUACAAGCUUCAAGUGUUGCAUUCUCUGUCAUACUUCAAUCUAAGCUCUGAUCCAACAUCCUGUUAGAGUGUUCCUCUCUGUGGUCCUACUGUAAAUAAGAACGUAGCCACCAUUGUACAGCGGCCGCCUUCUGGCCUUCUUUCCAUGCUGAAAUAAAGAGGAGCGUUGUUACUAUUUCCUGAAGGAUCUGGGGAAUAAUGGAGAGGAAAAAGCUGAGGGUAGAAGGAAUUCCAACUGACAUUCCAGCUAAUCGUGCAAAGGAUAAACUCACUAUACACUUCCUGAGAACUCGAAAUGGGGGGGGAGAAGUGGAAGAUAUUGAGAUUUUUCCUGGACCUCCGUUGCAUGCUAUCAUCACAUUUGAAGAUGAUAAAGUGGUUGACAGUGUCCUGAAAACGAAUGACCAUUUUUUAAAAAUAAAUGACAAAACAUACAAACUUGAAGUCCGUAAGCUUUCUGGCAAGUUGGAACUUAAUGAGGUAUUCAAGAAAUCUUCUUUAUCUGUGAACUACAAAAUACUUCCUGAAAAACUGAAAAACUUUCUGAAGGGUUUGAGAGAGACUUACAAAGAAGUCAAGUUUGAUUUUAAUGAAAAGUUAGGCAUCUGUGAGAUAAGUGGAUCAUACACAAACGUUCAGACACUGAGCCAAGAGAUUAUUAAACGCAUUGAAUUUGACCAUGAAGGCUCAAAGGAAAAUUCAUCAAAUACACACAGGCAAGCAAAGACUAACCAGCCUACACUUAGAAAACAUUUAAAUGUGCCAGUGGUCUCACAAGUCAAGGAUCAUACAUCUUCAAGACCAUAUGUCAGUGCUGAUCAAGUCAAGUUUUUGCCAAGAGAUGAAACCACUGAACAGCUACAGGAACCAUUUGUUUGGGACUCUGAUAUUUUCAGGUAUAUAAAGCAAUUUUACAGUUUGGAAUACAGAGAUUUAUUAAACAAGUACAAUAUUGAAGCAGUUGAGGAGAGUUCCGAUGAAAUCACCACAAUCUAUCUACAGACCCCACAUGGAGAUAAGGAUUGUAUGAAACAUUUGAGAGAUGCAAAGAUCAAUCUUAUGGAGCUUUACCAGGGAUUGGAAUUAAUUCUUCGGAAAGAGCAAAUCGACAAGAGAGACUGGAAUAGCGAUAAGGAUACUCACAGACUAUUGUUGGAAGAACUCAAAACCCUAUUUCCUAUACUCCUUUGCCAUGAAGAUGAUCAAUAUAUCUUCCUUAUUGGAAACAGUGGUGAUGUGGCUUUAGGCAAACAACACAUCUGUGAUGUAUACCUGAAGCUUAAUAAUCCAUCUAGAUUUUUACAGUCAUAUGAUAUGCAAGCUGCAGGAGGCCAGUUGAGCUCUACAGUAGGAAAAAGAGAUUUCAUGCCACUUUCAUUUAACAGUUCUGACAAUUAUAAAAUUAAAGGGGGAAACAGAAUUGCUGCCAUGUUUAAUCCAUCCACAGGCAGCAAUGCAUACUUGAAGAGCCAUCUAGAUGAUAAAUACUUAACAUCAUCCAGUAGUAACAACAAACAGCAGAUUGAUCUUGAGCGUAGUAACAAGACGCUGGGGACAAGUGAUUAUACCACAUCAUCUUAUAUUAAUAAAGUUGAAGACUGCAGCCUUUCACAAAUCAGUGAGAAAUCUGGUAGCAAAGGUUUAGCACAGAUCAAAAAAAUGGAUGUUCUUCCUGCACUACAAACUGGUAGAGUAGAUAUAAGACAGGCCAAGUCCACUACACAAAGUGUAGGAAAACUUCAACCUGUCCGAAUCGCUAAAGCAUCAAGUGAGUAUCCCUACUCUAGCUUGAUAGAUUUUCUCCCUCAGUCCAUAGAGUUUAAACCAGCAGAAGUCAAACUUAGAAGAUCUAGUAGCUUUUCCAAUGUUUAUGCCAAAGAUUCACCUGAUCAUCAAGGAGGAACAUCAGAAAUAAAAGAUGAAAUAUUAAUGGAAGAUUGGCUUUGGCAAUAUAUGAAAGAGUUUCACAAAUCAGACAUUGACACCUGGUGUGCUGAAGUCACACUGACAGAGGAGAAACGCAGUGAAUUCACUGUGUUAAAAUUAAAAGCAUCUAGCAAAACGAAGGUGUGGUCUGCAAAGGAUCGCAUGCAAUCACUGUACAAGGAAAAACGUGAGAAUUAUACCAAAUCUUACUUUCAGUACUCCAUACUUGAAGUUAAAGGUCCAGAUGAUGCAAAAAUCAAGGAGUGGUGCAAUGUAUUCCACAAUUGCUCCGACAAGCUGAGUUUAAAAGUGGAGAAAGAUGCACUGCUUCUUAUAUAUCCUAAAGUAACAGAAAAAAAAGUUCUCGAACAACGUGCUCGCUUUUUGCUUAAAAGUAAAUACCCCGACAACUUAUCUUUGGUAAAUAAUGUUCACUCAACUUUAACGACUGUUAUAAAGGAGCAAGAGAAUGAGCCAGAUUAUUCUGUGAAGUAUUUAGAAAGAAAUUACUUGAAAGGUCCAGAAGAUUUUUCCCCUGAAUUUAAUAAAAGUGAAUUUAUGACACCUACAGAGGAUCAUAAAAAAUAUUUAGUUGAUAGCAAAAAAGAAAGCUUUAUUGAAGAUAAAGCCCCUUUCAGCAAUUUCUUUCCAGCAUUACAAAAUUAAAAUAUACAGAAACCUCAUCAGUUACAAGAAACUCCAGAUAUUGGUUUAAAGGAUCCAGAGGGACUUAAUUCAAAGAGUUUUGACCUCAAUAAUUUCCAGGCAGAUGUCUGUGAUUCAUCUUUAGCAAAAAAAAUCCAUUCUAGUAAUCUAUCUGAGCCGAGAAGACCUGCAGUAGGACAAGAGUCUGAUCCAGUUGAUAGAGUUUGCGACCACUGCAAGGGAGAUGACAAAGCAAGUACACUAGCUUGUGGCCACUAUAUCUGUGAUAACUGCCAUUCAGCAUUCAAGGACUCUUGCCGUGUAUGCGCUGACAAAAAAGUAUGCGGUAACAGAAAUGUAUUAAAUGCUACUAUGACCUAUAGUAGUACGACUCUACUUCUAACAGGAUAUGAUCGAGACACUUGUAUACGAAUUAAAUAUGAAGUCCCUGAUGGAGUACAGAGGGCAGAAGAUCCUCACCCCAGAGAACGAUACAAAGGGGGGACCUUUGAAGCUUACUUACCUGAAAACAGAGAAGGGAAGAAGCUGCUUUCACUUUUAGAGAAAGCUUUGAACCAAAACUUAACAUUUAAAAUUGAACCAAAGAAGGACGGAGAUUUUGUGACAUGGCACAAAAUUCCUCAUAAGACUUCCCUAUCUGGAGGGAAGGCAAUGAGAGGAUACCCAGAUUCACAGUACAUGAAGAAUACAAUAGCUUUACUGAAGACCUUGGGUAUUGAAUGAGAAGAGAACAUCUAAUCUGCAACCAAAGCAAAGCGUAACAUUUGUUUCUACUCUUUUAUAUACGUUUCCUUUGUACUUGAGAAUCAGUAUACAUUUAUCAUAAGCUGAAUAUUUAAUGGAAAACAUGAUUGUUAAAUGUUUGACUGUUACAGGUCUUGUCAUGUAAUAUACGCUACCAGUCAAUGAAAAUCAAUAGACAGGAUCCAGUACUAUUCUAAAACUGUUAUCAACCUAUAUUAUUGUGCUGGGAAUCUUCACUCACAAAAUUGUGAAUACUCAUUUUUAAUUAUGCAAUCAUGUGAAAAGCAUCUACACACAGUUUGGUAUUUAAAACAUAACUAAAGGGAGCUAUACUUGACUUUCCUCCAAUGGUCUCUCACCAGCAUCUAGGUAAGUAUUGUAUUACAUGUCUCUUCUGCAAUAAAGAGCCCGCUUUCUCACAGUGAUGAACAGGGGGACUUUAGUUCAGCUCUAAAGUGAACAGAAAUGAUUUUUUCACAUAAUUGGAUAAGUAAAGUGAAUAGUAGUGUUUGGGUGAAGGUUCACAACUCAGGUAUCACUCCUGCUAGAACAGGCAUACAGGACCAGCAAACAAGUGGUUCUCUUCAUUCCCAUCAUAAUAACCCACAUUACCUGCAGCACCUAGUAUCUUCAGUCUUUCCAUCCCACAUUUGGGCUCAUCUGCAAUGAAAAUCUCUUUCCUGAUUUA